RNAcentral lists this ribosomal RNA (753 nucleotides) under uncultured Candidatus Poseidoniales archaeon. RNAcentral describes it as "bacterial SSU rRNA". It matches the Rfam family "Archaeal small subunit ribosomal RNA", at positions 102 to 857 of the family's 1478-position model. The record is from RNAcentral. Lineage: Archaea; Methanobacteriati; Thermoplasmatota; Candidatus Poseidoniia; Candidatus Poseidoniales.
GGGUAACCUGCCCUAUGCUGGAUAAUAACCUCGGGAAACUGAGAAUAAUGAUCCAUAGUCCACUACGCCUGGAACGGUGAGUGGAUGAAAGCUCCGGCGGCAUAGGAUGGGCCUGCGGCGUAUCAGGUUGUAGGGGGUGUAACGUACCCUCUAGCCCUCUACGCGUACGGGUGUUGGGAGACAUAGCCCGGAGAUGGAUUCUGAGACACGAAUCCAGACCCUACGGGGUGCAGCAGGCGCGAAAACUUGGCAAUGCGAGAAAUCGUGACCAGGGAACUCCAAGUGCAUCGGGUAAGACCGGUGCUUUUCUUGACUCUAAAUAGGUCUUGGAAUAAGGGGUGGGUAAGGACGGUGCCAGCCGCCGCGGUAAUACCGGCGCCUCAAGUGGUAGUCGCUUUUAUUGGGCCUAAAACGUCCGUAGCCGGUCUGAUACAUUCGUGGGUAAAUCAACCAGCUCAACUGGUUGAAUUCUGCGAGGACGGUCAGACUUGGGACCGGGAGAGGUGUGGGGUACGCUCAGGGUAGGGGUAAAAUCCUGUCAUCCUGAGCGGACCACCUGUUGCGAAGGCGCCACACUAGAACGGAUCCGACGGUCAGGGACGAAGCCUAGGGGCACGAACCGGAUUAGAUACCCGGGUAGUCCUAGGUGUAAACGCUGUGGACUUGAUGUUGGGGGUGCUCCGAGCACUCUCAGUGUCGAAGCGAAGGUGAUAAGUCCACUGCCUGGGAAGUACGGUCGCAAGGCUGAAACUU